This 254-nucleotide ribosomal RNA is filed under the name uncultured bacterium. RNAcentral describes it as "partial 16S ribosomal RNA". It matches the Rfam family "Bacterial small subunit ribosomal RNA", at positions 524 to 776 of the family's 1533-position model. The record is from RNAcentral.
UACGGGGGGGGCAAGCGUUGUUCGGAAUUACUGGGCGUAAAGGGCUCGUAGGCGGCCAACUAAGUCGGAUGUGAAAUCCCCAGGCUUAACCUGGGAACUGCAUCCGAUACUGGAUGGCUUGAAUUCGGGAGAGGGAUGCAGAAUUCCAGGUGUAGCGGUGAAAUGCGUAGAUAUCUGGAGGAAUACCGGUGGCGAAGGCGGCAUCCUGGACCGACAUUGACGCUGAGUGAGCGAAAGCUAGGGGAGCAAACGGG